RNAcentral lists this ribosomal RNA (505 nucleotides) under uncultured bacterium. Its description in RNAcentral is "partial 16S ribosomal RNA". It matches the Rfam family "Bacterial small subunit ribosomal RNA", at positions 28 to 507 of the family's 1533-position model. The record is from RNAcentral.
GACGAACGCUGGCGGCGUGCCUAAUACAUGCAAGUAGAACGCACAGUUUAUACCGUAGCUUGCUACACCAUAGACUGUGAGUUGCGAACGGGUGAGUAACGCGUAGGUAACCUGCCUGGGAGCGGGGGAUAACUCUUGGACACGAUAGCUAAUACCGCAUAAUAUUCAUUAUUGCAUGAUAAUUAAUUGACAGGUGCAAUUGCACCACUACCAGAUGGACCUGCGUUGUAUUAGCUAGUAGGUGAGGUAACGGGCCACCUAGGCGACGAUACAUAGCCGAACUGGGAGGGGGGACGGCCACACUGGGACUUGAACACGGCCCAGACUCCUACGGGAGGCAGCAGGAGGGAAUCCUCGGGAAUGGACGAAAGUCCGACCGGGCAACGCCGGGUGAGUGAAGAAGGUUGUCGGGUCGUAAAGCUCUGUUUUAAGGGAAGAAAGGGUGGUGGAGUGAAAAGUGCACAUUGUGACGGUACCUUACCAGAAAGGGACGGCUAACUACGUG